GGCCUGGCUGGGUGGUCUUGCCGCAAGGUUAGCACUGCUCUGGUCGGGUCUUUCCUUCUGGGGAACCUGCGUGCGCUUAAUUGAGUGCGCAGGGGAUCCAGGACUUUUACUUUGAAAAAAUUAGAGUGUUCAAAGCAGGCUUACGUCUGAAUACAUUAGCAUGGAAUAAUAAAAUAGGAC
RNAcentral lists this ribosomal RNA (180 nucleotides) under uncultured Glomeromycotina. Its description in RNAcentral is "partial small subunit ribosomal RNA". The stretch from base 93 to 180 matches the Rfam family "Eukaryotic small subunit ribosomal RNA", at positions 738 to 828 of the family's 1831-position model. The record is from RNAcentral. Lineage: Eukaryota; Fungi; Glomeromycota.